GGGCGGGCCUGGGUCCAGUCCACAGGGCCCCUCGUGGGCCCUGAUGAAGGAAAGAGUUGAGAUGGGGGCAGCGCUGGACCCCAGGGCCCCUGCCUGCCUCCUGGAGAGCCCGGUGACCCAGGCAGCCCUGGUGAGGCUGUGGGUGCCUGGGCCAUAGCGAGGCCCGCGAGCUCCCACAGGACAGAUGCGGACAGUGAGGCCGGGGAGGCCCUGCUGCCCUCCGAACUGUCCCUCCAGCCCCCAGCUUUCUGUGGUUCUCUGGGCCCCCUCUGCAGAGGGGCAGGGGAGCCCACCCUGGAUCCUGAGACGCCAAGCUUGAGGGACCCCCAGAGCUCUAGCGAGGCUGCUUCCUUUGCGGAUGGUGAAGCUGAGGUCCAGAGGAGGGCAGGGGCAGGUCCUGGGCGCUCCCUAGGCAAAGGGAGCCGAUCUCCGGGAGGCGGUCACAGGGAGCGCUCCUGCGACUUCUAGGGCCCGAAAGCUGGGGAGGAUGAGAGACCAGGGGCCUUUCGUCGUCCCCUGGGCUGGGCAGAGGCUCAGCCUGUGCCGCAACCCUAAGCGGCUUCUGGCAAGUCCGAGCCGCGGUCCCUUUAAGAGGGGGUGGAGCUUCAACCUGGCACUAGGGAUGCUGCUAGCGUGCGUGUCCCUACGGAGCUGAGACUGCAGUUCCUGCGACGCCCCUGCAGCAGCAGCAGCGUGGUCAGAGCGAGCUUCUGAGCGGUGGUGGGUUCCAUGUGAUGGUGGAGUAGGAGACAGGUCUCCGCGGUCAGUGGCGGGGGCGUGGACCCCACCGGGAACCCUCCCUGCUCCUUCCCUGCCUCUCCCUGUUUUCGUGCCCGCACUUCUUCGUGGGCAUCUGGGCCCGAGUCCUCCGCUUGGGGGCGGUUGUGCGGUCCUGGCUACUGCAGCGUCCGCACCCCGGCCGGGAAGGCUAUGCCAAUGUCCGACCCGCGUCCAGCGUAUAGGAGCGCCCUGGCCCACAGCUGGCGGUAAAACGCGGGACCUGGGUCCCUCGGAGCCCCAGGGGCCUCUGAGCUGGAGUCUAGGAUUAUUUUUGAUGCCUCAGCACCUUUAAAAAGAGACCUCGCUAGAGCAGGGGGCAUCUGUAUUUUCAGUUCUUUGAGGAGUCUCCAGCUAUUUAGCUGUUUUCCAUGGUUCAUCUGCGUUGCUCUAAAUGGGACUGUUUCAUUAUUUUGAUGGCUGAAGAAUAUUUCCUAGUGUAUGUAUAUGAGAGUUUCUUGAUCUCUUUAUCUGUGGAUGAACAGCUACUUUGAAAUAUAUGAUACAUUUGUGUUAAGGCUAGUCACGCUGCUGUGGAAUAGAAGGCCAGAAUUGAUCACUAUCAUCUGAGAGUAACUUUGUACCCAUCACUGAUUCCUUCCGAGACUGCCUCCACUUCCCCAG
RNAcentral lists this long non-coding RNA (1401 nucleotides) under Homo sapiens (human). RNAcentral describes it as "HSALNT0039957". The record is from RNAcentral. Lineage: Eukaryota; Metazoa; Chordata; Mammalia; Primates; Hominidae.